This 343-nucleotide unclassified non-coding RNA is filed under the name soil metagenome. RNAcentral describes it as "partial contains 5.8S ribosomal RNA, internal transcribed spacer 2, and large subunit ribosomal RNA". The stretch from base 1 to 120 matches the Rfam family "5.8S ribosomal RNA", at positions 35 to 154 of the family's 154-position model. The record is from RNAcentral.
GACGAAGAACGUAGCGAAAUGCGAUAAGUAAUGUGAAUUGCAGAAUUCAGUGAAUCAUCGAGUUUUUGAACGCAUAUUGCGCCCUCUGGUAUUCCGGGGGGCAUGCCUGUUCGAGCGUCAUUAAAUAACCCUCAAGCAUAGCUUGGUGUUGGGCUUUUUUACGUCCUUGACUGGGAUGGGCCUAAAAAUUAGUGGCGAUGGCUUUUUUACUUUCAAGCGUAGUAAAUCUCGUCUUGCUAAAGAGGAAAAAGAUUUUUUUUCUGCCAAAAAUUUUAACAUUUAAAGUUGACCUCGGAUCAGGUAGGAUUACCCGCUGAACUUAAGCAUAUCAAUAAGCGGAGGA